RNAcentral lists this transfer RNA (71 nucleotides) under Clostridium perfringens. RNAcentral describes it as "tRNA-Leu". It matches the Rfam family "tRNA", at positions 9 to 64 of the family's 71-position model. Rfam says of the family: Transfer RNA (tRNA) molecules are approximately 80 nucleotides in length. The record is from RNAcentral. Lineage: Bacteria; Bacillati; Bacillota; Clostridia; Eubacteriales; Clostridiaceae.
GGCGGAACUGGCAGACGCACAGGACUUAAAAUCCUGCGGUGCUAACACACCGUACCGGUUCGAUUCCGGUC